GACGAACGCUGGCGGCGUGCUUAACACAUGCAAGUCGAACGGUGAACCUCUUCGGAGGGGUUCAGUGGCGAACGGGUGAGUAACACGUGGGCAACCUGCCCCCGGCUCUGGGAUAACUCCAAGAAAUUGGGGCUAAUACCGGAUGUUCACCGCUUCCCGCAUGGGUGGUGGUGGAAAGGGUUUCCGGCUGGGGAUGGGCCCGCGGCCUAUCAGCCUGUUGGUGGGGUAGUGGCCUACCAAGGCGACGACGGGUAGCCGGCCUGAGAGGGUGACCGGCCACACUGGGACUGAGGCACGGCCCAGACUCCUACGGGAGGCAGCAGUGGGGAAUAUUGCGCAAUGGGCGGAAGCCUGACGCAGCGACGCCGCGUGGGGGAUGACGGCCUUCGGGUUGUAAACCUCUUUCAGCAGGGACGAAGCGCAAGUGACGGUACCUGCAGAAGAAGCACCGGCCAACUACGUG
This 463-nucleotide ribosomal RNA is filed under the name uncultured bacterium. Its description in RNAcentral is "partial 16S ribosomal RNA". It matches the Rfam family "Bacterial small subunit ribosomal RNA", at positions 28 to 507 of the family's 1533-position model. The record is from RNAcentral.